AAUAUUGGACAAUGGGGGCAACCCUGAUCCAGCCAUGCCGCGUGUGUGAAGAAGGUCUUCGGAUUGUAAAGCACUUUAAGUUGGGAGGAAGGGCUUUAGGUUAAUUCCCUGAAGUGUUGACGGUACCAACAGAAUAAGCAGCGGCUAACUCUGGGCCAGCAGCCGCGGUAAUACAGAGGGUGCAAGCGUUAAUCGGAAUUACUGGGCGUAAAGCGCGCGUAGGUGGUUCAGUAAGAUGGGUGUGAAAGCCCCGGGCUUAACCUGGGAACAGCUUUCAUAACUGCUGGGCUAGGGUACGGUAGAGGGUAGUGGAAUUGCCUGUGUAGCGGUGAAAUGCGUAGAUAUAAGAAGGAACACCAGUGGCGAAGGCGACUACCUGGACUGAUACUGACACUGAGGUGCGAAAGCGUGGGGAGCAAAC
RNAcentral lists this ribosomal RNA (421 nucleotides) under uncultured bacterium. Its description in RNAcentral is "partial 16S ribosomal RNA". It matches the Rfam family "Bacterial small subunit ribosomal RNA", at positions 360 to 773 of the family's 1533-position model. The record is from RNAcentral.